This 554-nucleotide ribosomal RNA is filed under the name uncultured bacterium. Its description in RNAcentral is "bacterial SSU rRNA". It matches the Rfam family "Bacterial small subunit ribosomal RNA", at positions 355 to 896 of the family's 1533-position model. The record is from RNAcentral.
UGGGGAAUUUUGGACAAUGGGCGCAAGCCUGAUCCAGCCAUGCCGCGUGUCUGAAGAAGGCCUUCGGGUUGUAAAGGACUUUUGUCAGGGAAGAAAAGGCUGUUGCUAAUAUCGACAGCUGAUGACGGUACCUGAAGAAUAACCACCGGCUAACUACUUGCCAGCAGCCGCGGUAAUACGUAGGGUGCGAGCGUUAAUCGGAAUUACUGGGCGUAAAGCGAGCGCAGACGGUUACUUAAGCAGGAUGUGAAAUCCCCGGGCUCAACCUGGGAACUGCGUUCUGAACUGGGUGACUAGAGUGUGUCAGAGGGAGGUAGAAUUCCACGUGUAACAAUGAAAUGCGUAAAAAAUUGAAGAAAAAACACGGAUGGCGAAGGCAGCCUCCUGGGAUAACACUGACGUUCAUGCUCGAAAAGCGUGGGUAGCAAACAGGAUUAGAUACCCUGGUAGUCCACGCCCUAAACGAUGUCAAUUAGCUGUUGGGCAACUUGAUUGCUUAAGUAGCGUAGCUAACGCGUGAAUUUGACCGCCUGGGGAGUACNGUCGCAAGAUUA